UUUAUGCUCAUUUGUAAGUCACUUUGGAUAAAAGUGUCUACAAAAUGACUAAAU
Molecule: non-coding RNA, 54 nt
Organism: Danio rerio (zebrafish)
Lineage: Eukaryota; Metazoa; Chordata; Actinopteri; Cypriniformes; Danionidae
Source: Rfam